RNAcentral lists this ribosomal RNA (253 nucleotides) under uncultured bacterium. Its description in RNAcentral is "partial 16S ribosomal RNA". It matches the Rfam family "Bacterial small subunit ribosomal RNA", at positions 524 to 776 of the family's 1533-position model. The record is from RNAcentral.
UACGUAGGGGGCAAGCGUUGUUCGGAAUUACUGGGCGUAAAGGGCGCGUAGGCGGCACAGCAAGUCGGGAGUGAAAGCCCGGGGCUCAACCCCGGAAUGGCUUUCGAAACUGCUGAGCUAGAGUACAGAAGGGGCAACCGGAAUUCCCAGUGUAGCGGUGAAAUGCGUAGAUAUUGGGAAGAACACCUGAGGCGAAGGCGGGUUGCUGGGCUGAUACUGACGCUGAUGCGCGAAAGCGUGGGGAGCAAACGGG